Molecule: ribosomal RNA, 1305 nt
Filed under: Triticum aestivum (bread wheat)
Lineage: Eukaryota; Viridiplantae; Streptophyta; Magnoliopsida; Poales; Poaceae
Description: partial small subunit ribosomal RNA
Source: RNAcentral
AUGGGUGUCUUCGCCGUGACCAAGGUGUCCGAGGGUCCCGUCCGGCCAUCCGCCGCGACGCCGUCGGAGACGCUGCCACUCGCGUGGGUUGACCGGUACCCGACGCACCGCGGCCUGGUCGAGUCCGUGCACGUGUACCGCGACGCCAUGACCGGGACGGGGGACGCCGGCGCAGAAGAGAAGAAGAGGAAGCCCCCGGCGGCCGUCGUGCGCGGCGCGCUCGCGGACGCGCUGGUGCACUACUACCCUUUCGCGGGCCGAAUCGUGGAAGGCGAGGACACGUGCCGCCCCGCCGUGCUGUGCUCCGCCGAGGGCGUCUACUUCGUCGAGGCCACCGCGAACUGCACGCUCGCCGACGUCAACUUCCUGGAGCGGCCGCUGCUGCUCGGCAAGGACCAGCUCGUGCCGUACCCGACGCCGGAGCUCUGGGCCGUCGAGCCGCAAAACAGCCUUGCCAUGAUACAGGUCACGACGUUUACCUGCGGCGGCUUCGUGAUCGGCCUGCGCACCAACCACGCGGUAGCCGACGGCACGGGCGCUGCCCAGUUCCUGAACGCCGUCGGCGACCUUGCCCGAGGUCUCCCGGAGCCCCGCGUCAAGCCGGUCUGGGGGCGCGACCGCUUCCCUGACCCGCACAUCAAGCCUGGCCCGCUCCCGGAGCUGCCGGUGCUGGCCCUCGAGUACAUCGCGUUCGACUUCCCGGUCGCCUACCUCGACAAGAUCAAGUCGCAGUACUCCGAGUUCACCGGCGGCAAGCACUGCUCCGGCUUCGACAUCGUCAUCGCCAAGCUCUGGCAGUGCCGGACGCGGGCCAUCGGCCCGGUCGUCGUCCCGGGCGCGGACGUCAAGCUCUGCUUCUUCGCCAGCGCCCGCCACGUGCUAAAGCUGGAGCCAGGAUACUGGGGCAACGCCAUCUUCCCGGUGAAGGUGUCAGCGCCGGCGGAGAUGGUCGCCGGCUCGUCGGUGGUCGAGAUUGUCGGGGUGGUCCGCGAAGCCAAGCGGCGCAUGGCGGAGGAAUGUCUGAGCUGGGCCGAGUGCCGCACCGGCGGCCGCGACCCGUUCCAGAUGACGUUCGACUACGAGUCGGUGUACGUGUCGGACUGGAGUAAGCUCGGGUUCUCGGACGUGGACUACGGGUACGGCACGCCCAUGACGGCCGGCCCGCUGGUGAACUGCGACCUCAUCGCAUCAGUCAUCGUCAUGAAGGCGCCGGCGCCGCUCGCCGGCACGCGGCUGCUCGCGAGCUGCGUCACCAAGGAACACGCCGACGACUUCGCUGGUCUGAUGAGGGAGGACCUCGGAUGA